UUUCCUCCAUGCCCAAGGGCCUAGGAAAUUGUUGGUGUUCCGAAGCUGCAUUGCUUUCUUUCUACGGGAAUAGUUUCACAUAGCGACCUGUCCCAACACCUAUGAUUUGCAUUGUGGACCAAAGGCCAGUGUGAAGACCAGAGCCACAGAAGAGCCCACCAGAAAGUGUGUGAGAAUACUCAAUGGUACUCUGGCAAUUAUUUUCAUGGCUGAAAGUUGAACACCCAGGCACAGAACCAUUGUGAUAGAACAGCGACGUGUGUAGAAG
This 268-nucleotide long non-coding RNA is filed under the name Homo sapiens (human). RNAcentral describes it as "HSALNT0186679". Lineage: Eukaryota; Metazoa; Chordata; Mammalia; Primates; Hominidae. The record is from RNAcentral.